UCGAGAAUUUUUCACAAUGGGGGAAACCCUGAUGGAGCGACGCCGCGUGGAGGAUGAAGGUUUUCGGAUUGUAAACUCCUGUCACUUCAGAACAAGACUACGUAUUCUAAUACAUUAUGUAGUUGAUGGUAUGAGGAGAGGAAGGGACGGCUAACUCUGUGCCAGCAGCCGCGGUAAUACAGAGGUCCCGAGCGUUGUUCGGAUUCAUUGGGCGUAAAGGGUGUGUAGGAGGUCGAAUAAGUCAGGCGUGAAAUCUCACCGCUUAACGGUGAAAUUGCGCUUGAUACUGUUUGGCUAGAGGAUUUGAGGGGGUAACGGAAUUCUUGGUGUAGCAGUGAAAUGCGUAGAUAUCAAGAGGAACACCAGUGGCGAAGGCGGUUACCUGGAAAAUUCCUGACUCUGAAACACGAAAGCUAGGGGAGCAAACGGG
RNAcentral lists this ribosomal RNA (430 nucleotides) under uncultured bacterium. Its description in RNAcentral is "bacterial SSU rRNA". It matches the Rfam family "Bacterial small subunit ribosomal RNA", at positions 355 to 776 of the family's 1533-position model. The record is from RNAcentral.